GCUGUUUCUAUGAGUGUUUGUCCUCAUAUUUAGGUGAAAAUCCGAGUUGAAGAGGCGUGGGUCUAUCAUAAGGACCUGGUGAUUUUCAGGAAUGGAUAUGCGGAUCAUACAUGUUACGAAUCUACAUAACCUACCGAGUAUGCCUCUUUUUCGAUUCUAUUGUCGCCAUAAAGAAAAGCCUCCUUUUUCAAUUCUUUGUGAAAUUAAAAAAUAAGUACAUAUGAGAAAGGAUGGUGUAAUAUCAAUAUAAUUUGCAUAAUUAAAUGUUAAGAUGAGAACGACUAAACAUUCAGUGUCUCCAAACUGGAUAAGUCUGCAUGCACACAUAAUAAGUUAAAUCCAUGUUCUCAUGGACUCUUAAAGUAAACACAAUUGUAUGCUAAUGCAGAUUACUUCCAAGUAUAUAGAAUAUCUAGAAUAUAUUUGUAUAAGUGAAGUCAAGGGGAUUAAGUUUGUAGUUUAGCACUUGCUAAUGCGUCGUCCUAGCCUGUGUUCCUUCCAGGUGCUUUCCUAAUCCUCUUGUCUUCUGUUGAUUCUUUUCUCUUAUUUUUGCAUUCUGUCCUUUUAUUUUUCGUUUUUUCCUUUAGAUUUUGAAUCCAUUCUCACUAAAAGUUGAAUGUGAAUAAUAUACUUUCCUUGCUAGGCAAACUUUAAUAGAAAACUAAUUGUGUUUAUAGAUGCAUAUGUGGCAUUGUAGCACCAAGCUGUUGGUGCAUGUCCGUUCAAACAUAAAAAAAAGAACCUUCUUUCUUAGCUGAGAAUACCUCGUCAUUGGUACCAUCAAUGCUAAAAUGGUCAUGAUUUUUGUCAUGUCCUGCCAGUAAGGUAAGGUAGAAUACCAUAUAGUUUAAAAUAUAAAAUUGGACAUUUGUUUUUCUUAAAACAAAAAUUUAAAGUUUUGACAUGUGUAAAUUAUUUUUGCAGGUACAUGCAUUUAUUGGGUCCAAUAAUCACCCUGGUUAUCGAUAAACGAUUAGAAACAUUGGAUUUGGGGUAUUGCAAAAAUAGUUUAAAGUUCUCACCUUUGAUACUUGAAUAAAAUUGGAAGUGACAGUCAUGAUUGUUUUUUGUGCCAAACUUCCAUUUACCAUAUUUGCUAAAAUAUAUCCCCGUAGAGUGAUCCCUACCUUCUCACCACUGAAAGAAUUUGACCAUGUAAAAGUAAUGUAAAAAGUCAUACAUAAUUCUGAAAUUGCUUACAUAAUUGAAAUAACUUACAAUAGCAAAAGGACGUGCAUCUCGCAGAUGUUUGAAGUUUGCUCUCUGCUUGUCCGUCUGUUCUUCUGUACUUCCUCAAUUGGUUUCAUCAUGGUAAGCAACCCAAUCCAUUGAUCCAUGAUUAGUAACGAAUUCAUCAAUGCCAUAUACAGGAACCGUGCAAAUUAUCUAAAUUGGUGCAGGUGAUACAUGCUGGAGAUAAUUUGAUGCACAUAUUACUUACUGGAGGUGGUGUGAUUGCUUGACGGAGCCGAUAACAGUCGAGGAGAGUCAACAGAGGAAACUGGGGCACUUGCAACUAUUGGAGGAAGGUGAUGUCCAAGUGCCGAUCGCUGGAGGAAGACGAUGACGAAGGUGGGCUCUGAAGGUGGGAUCCGACUUGUGGGGCGUGCUGAAACUGACUUGAUGCUAGCUUGUCAGCUAGUUUCAUCGCCCUGGCACCAUUGCUAACGUGAUUGCCAGAGUUCAUAAAUCACAACAUUACCUUCUCGCGGUAUCGCCUCGCCCUGAUUGCUCAAGGUAGUAGCCGCCUGCCUGGGACAACAAAUCAAUCUAAAGUUAGACUUUGUUCCCUUGGUGUUUUGGCAGCAAAAUAUCAUCAACCUCUUGGUUGUGAUGCUUUAAUUGUAAGUUACACUGCAAUUGGCUGCUUCCGCCCUGGCACCAUUUUUUUUUCCUUCUGUGUUUUCUCUUUUUUUCUUUUGGGCGUGCCUGUGCUGCUUCCGCCCCAGCACCUAUCGUGGGUUGUAUCGAUGUUGUUGCUUUGUAAUACAAAGCGGGGGGAAACCCUUUUUCGGCAAUUGUAAGUUACACUGCAUAUGUAGAGGCAACCUUCCAUUAUUAAUCUAUAAUUAUAAUA
This 2077-nucleotide long non-coding RNA is filed under the name Triticum aestivum (bread wheat). Its description in RNAcentral is "long non-coding RNA (TAES_LNC006918)". The record is from RNAcentral. Lineage: Eukaryota; Viridiplantae; Streptophyta; Magnoliopsida; Poales; Poaceae.